Molecule: long non-coding RNA, 1223 nt
Organism: Vigna radiata var. radiata (mung bean)
Lineage: Eukaryota; Viridiplantae; Streptophyta; Magnoliopsida; Fabales; Fabaceae
Exons: 8
Source: RefSeq, a predicted model, not a curated record
CACCCUACUUCUUUCUCUGACACUUGUCCAAAACUCAAGGUUUCUGGUCAUUCCAAUUUUUCAUUUUUGAAUUGUCCAUUCUGUCCUUAGCUUUUUACACCUAUAUCACACAACCCAACCCAUUCAUCUUUUUGUCUUUUGAACUUUCCCGUUGCUUUCCGGUUCCGCACAGAUUGAAUGGAUUUUUGUUCUACGAUUUUCUUAAUCAAACACAAAGACAACGUUUAAAGUUAGUAAAAGGGUAUUUUUUUUUGUUGUAGAGGUCUGUUUUGUUUAUUUUUGUCAUGGUUGUAGUUCUUAUUGUCGUUGGUUUGUAUGUGAUGUGAAUUUAUAUCUGUGUAGAACUUUUACAUUUUGCUUGUGAUUCCUUUUCUAUAGCUUUUUGGUGUAGCACUUCGUUGAAAAAGGUCCCAUACGAUCGGUACCUUUUUCCGAAAAGGUUUCGUCUGAUAUGUAGACAUAUUCCUGUGGUAUUCUCGUAGCAAGUGAACAACUCUCUUGUGUUGUCAACCCCAGAUGCACCGAAGUCAGCAUAUAUUGCGUCUAUGGGGGUUUACGUAUUCAAGACUGACGUUUUACUCAAUCUUCUCAACUGUAGGCAUCCACCUCCAAUGACUUGAGAUCUAAAAUCAUCCCUGCAGCUUAGUACUUUUUCAUAGAUUAUUAGGAAGAUAUUGGAACAAUAAAAUCCUUGUAUGACGCUAACUUGGCUCUUACUGAAGAGAGUCACAAGUUCGAGUUUUAUUACCCCAAGACUCCCAUUUACACAUCUCCAGGAUCCUACCACCAACUAAGAUUGACAAAUGUCGGAUUAUGGAUGUCAUUAUCUCUCAUGCAUAUUUCCUGCGAGAAUGGACAGUCCAAGCAAUAUGGAGGAGUUGCAAAAUGUAGCAGCAAAAUUGCCAACAGAAAAGUGGUUAGAUUUGGCAUGUGUUUUGGUCAUUCCAAUUCUUCAUCUGCGAAUUGCUCAUUGUUGCGGCUAAGAAAUUUGGGUUGGAAGCAACUAUCCAGGUGAUGGAUCUGCAAGUUUUUGCUAUGUCGUGUAUUACUUUGAAACCUUUGGUUCCAAGUUUUUAUGAGGGUUCACAAAUUUGCUGAUUUCGUUGUUUUACUCGGUUGCUUCAGGGGUUCGCCGGAACGACAGUUGAUGCUCGCUUCGAUCCAACAUCCUUAAUCACUCAGUUGCUCUCCAGAGACGAUGUAAACCUGUACGCGAAAUCUAC